Molecule: ribosomal RNA, 404 nt
Filed under: uncultured bacterium
Lineage: Bacteria
Description: bacterial SSU rRNA
Rfam family: Bacterial small subunit ribosomal RNA
Source: RNAcentral
CAGGGAAUCUUGCACAAUGGGCGGAACCCUGAUGCAGCGAUGCCGCGUGAGUGAAGAAGGCCUUUGGGUUGUAAAACUCUUUCGUCGGGGAAGAAAAUGACUGUACCCGAAUAAGAAGGUCCGGCUAACUUCGUGCCAGCAGCCGCGGUAAUACGAAGGGACCUAGCGUAGUUCGGAAUUACUGGGCUUAAAGAGCUCGUAGGUGGUUAAAGAAGUUGGUGGUGAAAUCCCAAGGCUUAACCUUGGAACUGCCAUCAAAACUUUUUAGCUAGAGUAUGAUAGAGGAAAGUGGAAUUUCUAGUGUAGAGGAGAAAUUCGUAGAUAUUAGAAAGAACAUCAAAAGCGAAGGCAACUUUCUGGAUCAUUACUGACACUGAGGAGCGAAAGCAUGGGUAGCGAAGAGG